RNAcentral lists this ribosomal RNA (195 nucleotides) under uncultured Propionibacterium sp. Its description in RNAcentral is "partial 16S ribosomal RNA". It matches the Rfam family "Bacterial small subunit ribosomal RNA", at positions 316 to 512 of the family's 1533-position model. The record is from RNAcentral. Lineage: Bacteria; Bacillati; Actinomycetota; Actinomycetes; Propionibacteriales; Propionibacteriaceae.
GGACUGAGAUACGGCCCAGACUCCUACGGGAGGCAGCAGUGGGGAAUAUUGCACAAUGGGCGGAAGCCUGAUGCAGCAACGCCGCGUGCGGGAUGACGGCCUUCGGGUUGUAAACCGCUUUCACCAGGGGCGAAGGCAUUCUUUUGGGGUGUUGACGGUACCUGGAGAAGAAGCACCGGCUAACUACGUGCCAGC